GAAGAGAGUGAUCUUAAGCGGUGGUACCGUCCUGUGAACCAAUUCCUACAAGACGAGUUCUUAACUCUUAGCACAUAUCAUGGAUAACAAAAACCGUUGUCUACUUGGGAUCUCUAGGUCAACCUAUUCCCGGACUUACAACGCAAAAGAACUAGGGAUUAUGCAUUUUACAUACGUUACUUAUCUUGAUGCCUUAUCUAGGUUAACUCACUCAUUUUCAUGAAAACUUUCACAAAACAUAUCCCAAACUCGUCAUGCACAUAUACAUAAUAUUUCAUGAAACAUCCUUUAAAACCAAUUUCAAACUUAGAAAAUAAUUCAACAACUUGAGCUCUUAAGGGGCUGUUUUGAACAGACACCAAUUCUGCCUCGGAUCUCUAAAUGAGGCUCAAAGGACAUUCUGGAAACUAGACAUUUCAAGGAACUUCUCCAAUUUGAAUCGAAUGAAACAGAGUUCAAACGAGCAAGAUAUGCCCACUCAAAGAUGGGUACUUAACAAGCAAAAAUCUGAAAUUUCAGAUUUCCAGAUUAGAACCAAGUCAAUGGGCCUUCUUUAAAAAUUCAUAUUCCCAUUACAAAAGGCCACUGGGAACUCCAAGGGUCAAUCUGAAAACUAGGGAGAGAGUGUGACACUCUCCAGUUGAAUUUACCCCAAGAAGAUUACAUGGUUUAGGAGAUAUUAACAUCCAAAGUUCAGUGCACAAAAAGAGUUCAAGUUCGGCAGAUUCAAAGUUUAAUUCAGAAAAACCACUUUAGGCUUUACCAAAAAUUCUACAAAUGAACAAAUAAGUUCCCAACAUGUCAAUGGAUAUUCAAUAUAAAAAUGGGCUUGAGAAUCAAAGAUUUAGGUUGGCCUUUGCCACCUCAAAGUCGUAGGUUUGUAAAACCUACUGGAGGAUACACAGAAUAAGAACUAGACUUCAAAAAUAGUGAGGCCAGUUUCAAACGAAAGAUAAGGGAGUCUAGAGUAUCAUAUUAAUGUUUCAAAGGGUUUCACCGAUCGAAACUUAACUUAUGGCCUCCCAAAGAGUAUUUACCAAAAAUGUAUUCCAGAUGGGCAGUGAUGUUUUAAAAAUUCAUAAAUAAAUCAUAAGAGCUCCAAAUCUUCUAAAAUUUUAUCAAAGUUCAGAAAACAUAGGAACGAUGAUACACAAUUAAUUUGGGGAUUUUUGGGGACCGUUUGGAUGGCUGGAAUCGCCUUGCAAAACAUUGCCGGAGCAGUGUGCUUAAUUAUGGCAGAUUCACUGCCUUACCUCAUGCACGGCUUUUCACCCAAUAAACUCUACCAAAAUAAACAUCCAAGACCAUAAAACAUAUCCUCACAUAAUAUAUCACACAUAGGUGUAAAAAUCCAUGGUCUUAAAGUAUUUUCAGUUGAGAAAACAAAAGAAAACUCACCCUCGAAGCACAAACUUCACCCCAACUUUACGCCCUAGGUUUCCCACGCUCUCCCUUGCUUUGAUACUUCUCUUGGGGCUUCAAGGGCUUCUAUGGAGUGUGAUAAUGGUGGGAGAAGAGUCUUGGGAGUGGGGGAGAUGUGUAGGGACGAAAAUGGAGAGGGGAGAAGAGAGUGAGAGCACCUUCUUGCCUUAGCACUUUCUUG
Molecule: long non-coding RNA, 1603 nt
Filed under: Salvia miltiorrhiza (redroot sage)
Lineage: Eukaryota; Viridiplantae; Streptophyta; Magnoliopsida; Lamiales; Lamiaceae
Description: long non-coding RNA (SMIL_LNC005735)
Source: RNAcentral